RNAcentral lists this RNase P RNA (339 nucleotides) under Candidatus Woesearchaeota archaeon. RNAcentral describes it as "RNase P RNA component". It matches the Rfam family "Archaeal RNase P". From Rfam's summary of the family: Ribonuclease P (RNase P) is a ubiquitous endoribonuclease, found in archaea, bacteria and eukarya as well as chloroplasts and mitochondria. Its best characterised activity is the generation of mature 5'-ends of tRNAs by cleaving the 5'-leader elements of precursor-tRNAs. Cellular RNase Ps are ribonucleoproteins. Lineage: Archaea; Nanobdellati; Candidatus Woesearchaeota. The record is from RNAcentral.
GGUUGGGUGGGUAGCCUGCCGCCGGUGAGCAAUCGCUGAGGAACGUCUCCCCACCAUCAAAAGGCCGCUCUUCGGAGUUCCCGCGAGGGAAGGCAAACGUCACAGAAACGACACGGCCUGCAAGCGAUCGCACGAUGAGAUCCCGAACGUCCAUGGCGACGUGGACGGAGAUAACGGGUCGAGGAGCUUGCAGGAACCGAUGAAACGGACAGGACCGGCCGGUGCAAGGCCAACACGGCCGCAUAGUGGAAUGCAGGCGCAGUCCCGCCAGGUAACGCCUGGCACACCGUGAAUUCAACCGGUGCGGACUGACAGAAGGGAGCGUACUCCCACCCAACC